ACCAAAGCAAACAUAAAUCUCCAUAACACUAGAUGCUCUAAUUGUUAUUGCUCGCUGCCCAGCUGACUUUUGUUUACAAACAAAACGCACACACACAAACACACCAUCAACCUCCUUCCUCGCACAGACGUGAGGAGGACGGACUAGCGAGGUGAUUGGUAACUUGGACCGAGGUAAACAGUGCACGUCGGGACACAGGGCGGGGAGGUGCUGCCGGUCGUUUCUCUUAUCUGACCGACUCGGUUCUUUAAAUGUAUGAUGAUGGAUCCAAUUGGUUGUUACUGCUGUUAAAGGCCAGUUUGCUGCAUCAGUGGUCGUCAGCGUGGGUAGUACAGCACCUCGUCAGCGUGGAUAGUACAGCACCUUCUUAUUUACUGGGGUUAGUAAGUUUGCUGUAUACGUAAAGUCUGCUUUACUUAACUUUGCCACUGGGGUCUAGAGGCGGUCGAUCGCAUCUGGACAUUGUUGGCAAGUAUUGGGCAUGUAAUGGCUCUGUUACACCCUGUUGGCAAGUACUGGGAAUGUACCGUUACACAGUUGGCAAGUACUGGGGAUGUACUGUCUGUUACACCCUGUUGGCACGUACUGGGAAUGUACUAGCUCUUACUGUUGACCAGUACUGUACAUGUACUGGCUGUUACUGUUCUGUAGUCACUAAACAGCUCAC
This is a long non-coding RNA of Homarus americanus (American lobster), 667 nucleotides long. RefSeq lists it as uncharacterized. The record is from RefSeq and is a predicted model, not a curated record. The transcript has 3 exons. Lineage: Eukaryota; Metazoa; Arthropoda; Malacostraca; Decapoda; Nephropidae.